RNAcentral lists this ribosomal RNA (875 nucleotides) under uncultured Actinomyces sp. RNAcentral describes it as "bacterial SSU rRNA". It matches the Rfam family "Bacterial small subunit ribosomal RNA". The record is from RNAcentral. Lineage: Bacteria; Bacillati; Actinomycetota; Actinomycetes; Actinomycetales; Actinomycetaceae.
GACGAACGCUGGCGGCGUGCUUAACACAUGCAAGUCGAACGCUGAAGCUCAGCUUUUGUUGGGUGGAUGAGUGGCGAACGGGUGAGUAACACGUGAGUAACCUGCCCCCUUCUUUGGGAUAACGCCCGGAAACGGGUGCUAAUACUGGAUAUUCACUUGCCUUCGCAUGGGGGUUGGUGGAAAGGGUUUUUUCUGGUGGGGGAUGGGCUCGCGGCCUAUCAGCUUGUUGGUGGGGUGAUGGCCUACCAAGGCUUUGACGGGUAGCCGGCCUGAGAGGGUGACCGGUCACAUUGGGACUGAGAUACGGCCCAGACUCCUACGGGAGGCAGCAGUGGGGAAUAUUGCACAAUGGGCGAAAGCCUGAUGCAGCGACGCCGCGUGAGGGAUGGAGGCCUUCGGGUUGUAAACCUCUUUCGCUCAUGGUCAAGCCGCAGCUUUGGGUUGUGGUGAGGGUAGUGGGUAAAGAAGCGCCGGCUAACUACGUGCCAGCAGCCGCGGUAAUACGUAGGGCGCGAGCGUUGUCCGGAAUUAUUGGGCGUAAAGGGCUUGUAGGCGGUUGGUCGCGUCUGCCGUGAAAUCCUCUGGCUUAACUGGGGGCGUGCGGUGGGUACGGGCUGACUUGAGUGCGGUAGGGGAGACUGGAACUCCUGGUGUAGCGGUGGAAUGCGCAGAUAUCAGGAAGAACACCGGUGGCGAAGGCGGGUCUCUGGGCCGUUACUGACGCUGAGGAGCGAAAGCGUGGGGAGCGAACAGGAUUAUAUACCCUGGUAGUCCAAGGGCGAAUUCCACAGUGGGAUAUCAAGCUUAUCGAUACCGUCGACCUAGAGGUUGGAACACGAUUCCCAGCUUUUGUUCCCUUUAGUGAGGUUUAAUUC